GAUGAAGAACGUAGCGAAAUGCGAUAAGUAAUGUGAAUUGCAGAAUUCGGUGAAUCAUCGAAUCUUUGAACGCACAUUGCGCCCCUUGGUAUUCCGAGGGGCAUGCCUGUUCGAGCGUCAUUAUAACCCCUCAAGCUCAGCUUGGUGUUGGGGCCUGCUGCACUGGCAGCCCUUAAAAUCAGUGGCGGCGCCAUCUGGCUCUAAGCGUAGUAAUUCUUCUCGCUAUGGAGUCCUGGUGGAUGCUUGCCAUCAACCCCCAAUUUUUCUAUGGUUGACCUCGGAUCAGGUAGGGAUACCCGCUGAACUUAAGCAUAUCAAUAAGCGGAGGA
Molecule: unclassified non-coding RNA, 329 nt
Filed under: soil metagenome
Description: partial contains 5.8S ribosomal RNA, internal transcribed spacer 2, and large subunit ribosomal RNA
Rfam family: 5.8S ribosomal RNA (bases 1-120)
Source: RNAcentral